GGGCGCAUAGCUCAGCUGGUCAGAGCAGCUGCCUUACAAGCAGCAGGUCGGGGGUUCAAGUCCCUCUGCGCCCA
Molecule: transfer RNA, 74 nt
Filed under: Auraticoccus monumenti
Lineage: Bacteria; Bacillati; Actinomycetota; Actinomycetes; Propionibacteriales; Propionibacteriaceae
Description: Propionibacteriaceae bacterium MON 2.2 tRNA
Rfam family: tRNA
About the family: Transfer RNA (tRNA) molecules are approximately 80 nucleotides in length.
Source: Rfam by way of RNAcentral